AUAACAAUUAACGCGUCGUGCUCUCCGCUGCGCGGGCGCCUGUUUGUUGUUGCGUUAAAAAGUCAAACGCAACUUCGGCAGAUAAACUUCGGGAGCGAAGCGCCGCCGCCGCCAACCCCCGCGCAGGAGCGGCGCACCGCACCGCGCCGGCCCCGACCCCGCCCGCCGCCCCCGCCGCCCCGACGGGCGCUACCGGACGGGCACCGGGGGCCACCCGACACAGCGCCCGGACGGCGCGGGGAAGCGCUGCCGGGCGGCGACUCACCGUGCGCGGAGCCUCCCGCCGCUCCCCGCUCCCGGCCGCCGUCUGCCUGCGGACGUGACCCGGAUUCCCCCCGCCCGCGCCGCCUCCCGCGAGGCCGCGCACCGCCGCGCUGCGCCCCCCGGCCCCACCCGCUCCGCUCACCUCCGGCCGCGGCCACCGCCGCUCCUCGCCCGCCGUCGGUCCCGGCGCCGUGCGGAGCGCGUUACGCAACGCGGCCCCUCCGCGCCGCGGAGAGGGUCGCCGGGAGGCGGGCGCGGGGCGGGGGGAAGCGCGGCUCGGCAGACGGCGGCCCCGACACCGCCGCCGCUCGCAGCGCCGGACCGGGGCUGCCCCGGGUCACCGCCCUCCGGGAGCACCGCCGGGCUCGCGGGCCGCGGGGAUCUCGGUGCCGAGGGAGGGGGAAUCCCGAGCCCGGAGCUCGGCCCGGAGCCGUCCUCGCGGCUCGGCACGGACACGGGGGAAGGAAGAUCGCCGCGAUCAGAGGCUUUCCCGUGGGCACCGACGCUGUGCCUCAGCCCCGCCGCGGGCACCGGGGUCAGCGCAGCGCUCUCGGCUCCCAGGGCCGCAGCCGGCACACGCCCGCCGGCAUCGGCCAGGGCAGCGACGUGGGCAGAGCGCUACGGGAUCCCCGCGUUGCCCAGCACUUGUUCUGGGGAACCGUCCCUGGGCACAGCGCUGGGAAAUCGGCGGGUGACGGGCCCUGCCCUACACAGCUGGUGCUUAGAAGUGCACCACUGACGGCUGUCCUCGCUGGUCGUGGGGCACGCACUGGUUUGGUUUCAGUCACUGGGAUGACUGUCUGA
Molecule: long non-coding RNA, 1068 nt
Filed under: Coturnix japonica (Japanese quail)
Lineage: Eukaryota; Metazoa; Chordata; Aves; Galliformes; Phasianidae
Description: lncRNA (ENSCJPG00005012605.1)
Source: RNAcentral